RNAcentral lists this ribosomal RNA (434 nucleotides) under uncultured bacterium. RNAcentral's name for it is "partial 16S ribosomal RNA". It matches the Rfam family "Bacterial small subunit ribosomal RNA", at positions 341 to 792 of the family's 1533-position model. The record is from RNAcentral.
ACGGGAGGCAGCAGUGGGGGAUAUUGCACAAUGGGGGAAACCCUGAUGCAGCGACGCCGCGUGAGUGAUGAAGUAUUUCGGUAUGUAAAGCUCUAUCAGCAGGGAAGAUAAUGACGGUACCUGACUAAGAAGCACCGGCUAAAUACGUGCCAGCAGCCGCGGUAAUACGUAUGGUGCAAGCGUAAUCCGGAUUUACUGGGUGUAAAGGGAGCGUAGACGUCAAGGCAAGCCAGAUGUGAAAGGCUGGGGCUCAACCCCGGGACUGCAUUUGGAACUGUCUAGCUAGAGUAUCGGAGAGGUAAGUGGAAUUCCUAGUGUAGCGGUGAAACGCGUAGAUAUUAGGAGGAACACCAGUGGCGAAGGCGGCUUACUGGACGAUAACUGACGUUGAGGCUCGAAAGCGUGGGGAGCAAACAGGAUUAGAUACCCUGGUA